RNAcentral lists this ribosomal RNA (254 nucleotides) under uncultured bacterium. Its description in RNAcentral is "partial 16S ribosomal RNA". It matches the Rfam family "Bacterial small subunit ribosomal RNA", at positions 99 to 354 of the family's 1533-position model. The record is from RNAcentral.
CGGACGGGUGAGUAACGCGUGGGUAACCUGCCUUGCACUGGGAGAUAACACUUAGAAAUAGGUGCUAAUACCGCAUAAGCGCACGGUCCUGCAUGGGACAGUGUGAAAAACUCCGGUGGUGCAAGAUGGACCCGCGUCUGAUUAGCUGGUUGGCGGGGUAAAGGCCCACCAAGGCGACGAUCAGUAGCCGGCCUGAGAGGUGGACGGCCACAUUGGGACUGAGACACGGCCCAAACUCCUACGGAAGGCAGCAG